CCCUUGAUGAAGAAGCCACAGAAAGAGCGAGAGUGGAGGGCUGAUUUCUCUCCCCCCAGUACUGUCCCCUGCCAGGUUUCCUGCCCUCUUCACUGGACUUCAUCUCCGUACCUCCAGCAGGGACCCCCAGCACAGGGCAGAUCCUCUCACAGCUGCCAUGGCCAGCAGCAGAGAUUUGGACAGCGAGCAAGUGGUGCCCAGUGAGGAGGAUGAGGGACCAGACGUGAAAGCCGUGCAGGCCCACUACCUCCGCAGCCCCUCACCCAGCCGGUAUUCAGUGAUGUCGGAUGCUGAUACAGAGAGCAUCUUCAUGGAGCCAAUCCAUCUGUCAUCUGCUGUGGCUGCCAAACAGAUAAUCAAUGAAGAACUGAAGACAAAGGAUGCCAAUGUAGACUCAGCAUGUCCCAGGAUGUUAGAGUCUGCACGGCAGCUGAUGGUGGAAGAUCUGUACAACCGAGUUAAGCAAAAGAUUGAUGACACCAGCUUGUUUAACACACCAUGUGUGAUGGAUUUGCAGAGGGGACUUGUGAAGGACAGGCUAGAGACCCCCAGGGAUGCUGUGGAUGAAGUCUGGCCUAAUGUCUUCAUAGCAGAAAAAAGUGUUGCAGUGAACAAAAGCCGUUUGAAAAGAUUGGGGAUCACACAUGUCUUGAAUGCAGCUCAUGGUACAGGUGUAUACACAGGCCCAGCUUUCUACAACGGUCUGAAUAUCCAGUACCUGGGCAUCGAAGUGGAUGAUUUUCCAGACAUGGAUAUCUCCAAACACUUUCGCCCAGCUGCAGAGUUCCUUGAUGAAGCACUGCUGACUUACAGGGGCAAAAUCCUUGUCAACAGUGAAAUGGGGAUCAGUCGCUCAGCUGUGCUGGUGGCUGCUUACCUGAUGAUCUACCACCACAUGACUGUUUUGGAGGCUCUGAUGACUCUGAGAAAGAAGCGUGCCAUUUACCCCAAUGAUGGCUUUCUGAAACAGCUAAGGGAUCUCAAUGAGCAAUUGUUGGAAGAGCGAGAGCUGGAGCAUACUGGAAGUGAAGAAAUCACUCCUAGUCAAAGUCCUGUUGUCAGUGCAGGGACUUCUUCCCAGCCAUCUGGAGCUGGGGACUCAGAAAGUGUCAUGGGAGCCAAAGCCCACUCCAUCACAGUAGAAGAAGAGGACACCACCAGCCUGCUGGGUAGUUUAAUGAGCUCUUCAUCAGUGGAAAAAACUAGCUGGGUUUCCAAACACUCCACCCUCAUCAGUGAGGAGGAAGAGGAACACUUGUAUGAGGAAUGGAGGAAGAAACAAGGCCUGCCUACAAAGGAACCCAGAGUUAACCAUGGUAGAAGAACAUCACCAAAGUUUCUGGAUCAGGAAGGGGAACAAUCUGAGGAGGAUGUGGAACAGAGGAUCCAUGACUGGCAGUGCAGAAAUGAGAAAUAUCAAAUUGAGAGUCCACCUAGAGAGGAGUACGGAGAUGCCAGCAUGGGAGGAAAACCUUACCCACCAGGUGAAUUUCAUGAUGUUGAGAGUGUGAGCAGUUUUGAGAUUCGAACCCUAAGACAACAGCUGGAAGCCAGUAGCUUAAGCAGGAUGAGGAGGAGCCGCACAGGCUCUAUGUCUUCAGAGAGCACCUGGGACAUGUGGAACCAGAGGCUUCUGGAGAUUGAGAAGGAAGCUGCUCGAAGGUAUCAUUCUAAGAAUAAAAACUGUGGGAAGAGACAACCCCCAGAAACAGGAGAGGACAGGGAUGUGGAUGAGGAGAGUGUGCUUUCAGACAGUAGCUCCUUUUACAAUUUCUGCCAAAAGAAGAAAGACAAAUUGACUCCUCUGGAAAGGUGGAAGAUCAAGAGGAUUCAGUUUGGCUUUCACAAGAAGGAUUUAGAACCAUCAUCAUCUGGUGCACCAUCUCCAGCAGAAGAUGGCAGCCAUGCAGGUAUAGAGGGGACAGAAGGAAAGAGUUUGUCAGAUAUUAACCUGACUGCCUACCAAGCUUGGAAAAUGAAGCGCCAGAAGAAGGUGGGCAGUGAAAGCAAGGAGGAAUUUGUGGAAUUCGCCAAAAGCGAGGAUUCUGCAUCAGCUAAAAAGAAGCAGAGGCGUGUAGAGCUCCUUGAACGUACAAAGAAGAUCUUAGCAGAAAGCCAGUCCAUGUGUAGCUGGGAGACAGACAGUACGAUGAGUGGGAGUAUCCCACUGUCAGCUUUCUGGGCCUCAGAACCUUCUGCAGGCGGUGCCGAGGAUGCAGCUUCUGCACUGAGCAUGCAGAUAAAUCAUUCAUCUUUAUCACAGACCAGGAGCAAUACAGGGGCAAUGCAGCCUCAGAUGCCAAGUAUACCCCUUCCCAAACUCCCAGUCAGCCCAGGUGAUACAAUAUCCAUGGCAAGCAUUCAGAACUGGAUCGCUAACGUGGUCAGUGAAACCAUUGCUCAGAAGCAAAAUGAGAUCAUGAUGCUGUCCCGUCCAUCAUCUGUAAUGGCCUCCAUAAUGUCAGGAGACCUUGGCAGUGGUGUAGAUGAUGAUAAAGUUUAUCCUCUUUGUGCUCGAAGUAACUCAUCUCUUGCUACCUCUCAGCUUCGCCAGCAGGACAUGCACAAGGCUGAGUCUCAGCCUGUCCUGUCUUGCAAUACCUCAGCAAAUGCAAGGACAGAAAGGACUGGUUCAAACAUGAAGACAACACAGACAAGCACGCCACUGUACAGCCUCUUUGCUGAUGAGGUUGAUUUAAAGAAAAUCAGGAGGAAGGAGAAGGAGAUGCAAAUGGAAAUGAGAGAGAAAAUGACAGAUUACCAAACUGAAAAGGUGAUCAGAGACAAUAAACGGAGCACUUCAUUUAAAAAAAAGACGACCAAAGGAGAGGGCAAGGAAAUAGAAGAUGACAGAGAGAGUACAACAAACAGCCACAGGCACCCCUUGCAAGCACAUGUUGAAGGAAGUGACAGAAUCUUUGAUCUAUUCAGUCAACCUGCAAACACAGGUGUACCGAGGUCAGAGACAGAGACUGAUAUUACCAAGUGGCUCAGCAGCCUGAAAGCAGAAAGAGAGCCAUCAUCAUUUUAUGGUCAAAGCAAGAAGGCUAGAGAGAAAUACAGCAGAUCAUCCACAGUUAGAGAGAUGGAUUCUGAAACAUCCAGUUACAGAAUCUCCAGAUCCCAAAGAGAAGAGCUGGACAGCUCUUCUUCCUACGAGUCAAAAGGAGAUUCACUGAGAACCAUGUCAAGAUUUUCCUCUGCUUCUGCAAAAGAGGACAAGAAUAUGUAUAAGUUCUCAAGGUCAAGGAUCAGUGAGACAAGUUCCAGAGAAAAUUGCCCAGAGCUCCAUGUUUUCAGACAAACACUUGAACCAUCCUUUGACUCUGAAUUCCCUGAACCACCUACACAGAGUAGAGUUAGAUAUCAUGUGGAGGCAUGUGAAGAGGAAGCCACGUCAGACAUGUCAGAAUUUGGAGCUAAGAGAAAGUUCAGGCAGAGCUUUUCAAAGUCUGAAGAGGAUGGAAAGGAGGCAAAAGUGGAACAAAGUGAAGAAAGAUUUGCAUCUAGACAGUUCUCACAGUACAGGCGAACCAUGCGUGAAGAAGAGGAAGAAGAGAUGGAUGAUGAUGCCAUUAUUGCUGCUUGGAGAAACCGAGUAGAAGAAACUACAGCAAAGCUUCGGCAGCGAAGGGAAGAGUGACCAAGAUGAGAUUACAGAAACACAAGCAGAGCCACAGAGUCUCUGAAUCACUCAUCAUUAUAUUUCUGAUAAUCCUUUGUGGUUUGUAGGGCAUUUCUUGCAGAUAGUUCUAUUCUUAAUCAAAAGCGAUAAAGGGAAGAGGUCAAGUUUUGGAAGUGUUUGUGGUUUGUCAGAAAGAAGAUGCUAGUGUUAAAUGAUCCAUGUAGGUAGGAGCACAAUGUUAGAAGCUGUUAGGAGACAGACGAUGUUUCAGUAGCAAAAGCACCUCAAGUAAAAAGACCAAUCACAUCCCAUUUUGGUUAUUUCAAUUUCCUAGUCUCGUUAAAGAGUGGACAUAUUUUUUCUAGGAUCUUUUUGAUCAUAAAUGGAAGAAGCCAACGGCCUUUUCGAGGAACUUGAAGAAUGUUUCUCUCUUAAUCAGUUUUACUUUAUGCCACUGAGAAGAUACUGCCAGGUCCUUUGAACAAUGUAGAAACUCAGCAUAUGUGGAAGGAUACAUGAGAGAGAAACCCAUUUGAAGUUGGUCUGUGUGAAGUAAGGAAUAACAAAGUGAUGAAAGUAAGGAGUAAGAAAGUGAUGAAAGCUGGACAGCUAGGAGGUGAGUGUUCAAAAAGAGCUCUGAAGACAACAGGCAAAUGAAGAAGGGGACCUGCACUGGAUGGAGACAGUAAGAUAUGUAUGUAAGCUGAGGAGGCUAAUGUAAAAUAUUGAUUUCUUUAGAUGUAUAAAAAUCUGGGGAAAGGUUAUGGGGCAGCUGCUGUGGGAAGGAAGAAGAUGGUGGGAUUUACAGAAAUUACAAGUUGGUAAGAAAUGUGAAGGGGACUGGGAGAAAUGGAAAUGGUACUCAUCAUAGUAGGAGAGAGAUGAUAAAAUGACAUAUGUGCUAGACAUCUGUACUAGACUUGGAAUUCAAUGUGCAGAAGCAAGUUUGGAAGGAAGCAGAAAUAUGCCAGAAGUAAGUUAUUCCUACUGUUAACAGCUGCAUUCUUCGUCAUAAUGCUGAUAGGUGUGAGGCCAUGGCCCAUUCCCCCAUUUAGGAUUUUCAGAGCAAUGUGAUUUAUUGCAUGCAGCACUAGUUUAGACUGGAUAAUUUUAAAAGGAGUUUAGCACCAUUUUCCUUCUCUCACAGCUCCUUGAGAAAUGCUUACACGUUAGCUGUACUGGAGAACUAGGUGAAUUAUGAGACAAGAAGUUUUGCUUGGGGAUGGUUAUGUCACAUUACCUGCCUUUCCUUAAAGGAUUCAGCUAGAAUACAUUCAAUAAAGACAUUAUAACAUGAAAACACAGUAUCCAUGGCCUUCGUAAAUUUACAGACAGUCCAACAUUGAUGCAGAAAGAAUGUGAUUAACAUAGUCUAGGGCUUGGAAACAGACACUGUGUAUUCAUGUACUCCAGCAAAAUCUCUUUGUGGGCUACCUACCCAUUCUCUGGAAUUUCACCUGUCAUCUAGGAAAACGAAAGUGGGUUAAAUCUGUGGCUGUUCUAAUUGUGAAGAAAACUUUCAAAAUUGGAACUAUAUGUAACAAAUAAACAAUUCUCUAGAGAGGUGGAAGCAUAGCUCUAAAUGGUGUGUGCAUUAUCCCAGUUGUCUCAGCAAGGUGCUAAUUUGCUUGCCCAGGAGUAAUAAUUUAAAUGCUAGUAAUAUUUGUUACAUUGUUCUUCAUGUAAAAAAUGGAGAGAGGUUGUGUAUUGAGGUUGUGUAUUACCAAUACCAGCAUAAUCCACUUAAAUGAACACCCUGCCAUUUUGGCUACUCCUAGGAACAGAAAUUUUUUGGACAUGGAAGAAUCCUCCCUUUUUUUUUUUUCCAGACUGCUUUUGGUUCUUUGGUACAUUUCAACAUAUUAAGGAGCUGAUUUCAUGUUGCUUCCAUCUCUAUCCCCCUGUUACAACCAUUCAGCAGCUUCUGAGCUUGGAGUUUUCCUGUGACUGCUGUUCCCAUGCCACAGGGUGCACACACAAAUAAAAAGCGGAAAUAUUUGUGACUUCUAAAAGCAGGCAACAGUAUGAAUUCAGAUCUUCCCAGGACCAACAGGUAAAUGUUGGGAUGUCUGUGCCAAGUUAUCUUGGUAUGGUGACAUGAAAACUGUCUGAGAGAGCAGGAGAAAGGACAUCCUGUCUGUGCUUUGAACCCUCCACUCUGAAUUGCAUUUUGAAGAUUUUUAUUUAUGUGUAUCAUUAAAAUAGACAAAUUUAAUCCUUACACGAGAGUGUAGCUGCUUCCAUAUAUGAUUCAUACAUGCAGGCAGGCUGGUUUACUUCAGAUAUGUAUGCCCUGGAUGACACAAAUGUACAAUGGAAAACUAGCUUCACUGUUAACUAUGGAGAGAAUAAAACUUCUACAUAAUCAAUCAAUCAA
RNA transcript from Pezoporus flaviventris, 6002 nucleotides. It is a transcript of the gene named serine/threonine/tyrosine interacting like 2, with no coding region annotated. The transcript has 7 exons. The record is from RefSeq and is a predicted model, not a curated record. NCBI's taxonomy places the organism in Eukaryota, Metazoa, Chordata, Aves, Psittaciformes, Psittacidae.